UAGAGCAGAGGACUGAAAAUCCUCGUGUCCGGAGUUCAAAUCUCCGUCCUGGCA
Molecule: transfer RNA, 54 nt
Filed under: Cyanobacteria bacterium UBA11159
Lineage: Bacteria; Bacillati; Cyanobacteriota
Description: tRNA-Leu
Rfam family: tRNA
About the family: Transfer RNA (tRNA) molecules are approximately 80 nucleotides in length.
Source: RNAcentral